AGACUUAGCUGGCAGGGAGAUGCUAUGAUCACAAAGGUGGUGUUCCCAGCGUGAGGGUCAUGCAUGCACCCUCGAUGUGCAGAUCUCAACGGCAAGAAGCUUAACUGCAUAAUUUGUGGUACUGAGGGACUAUGUGUGUAAAAUCCGUUU
This 150-nucleotide small nuclear RNA is filed under the name Octodon degus (degu). RNAcentral's name for it is "U1 spliceosomal RNA (ENSODEG00000021607.1)". It matches the Rfam family "U1 spliceosomal RNA". Rfam says of the family: U1 is a small nuclear RNA (snRNA) component of the spliceosome (involved in pre-mRNA splicing). Its 5' end forms complementary base pairs with the 5' splice junction, thus defining the 5' donor site of an intron. There are significant differences in sequence and secondary structure between metazoan and yeast U1 snRNAs, the latter being much longer (568 nucleotides as compared to 164 nucleotides in human). Lineage: Eukaryota; Metazoa; Chordata; Mammalia; Rodentia; Octodontidae. The record is from RNAcentral.